RNAcentral lists this transfer RNA (91 nucleotides) under endosymbiont DhMRE of Dentiscutata heterogama. Its description in RNAcentral is "tRNA-Ser". It matches the Rfam family "tRNA". From Rfam's summary of the family: Transfer RNA (tRNA) molecules are approximately 80 nucleotides in length. Their secondary structure includes four short double-helical elements and three loops (D, anti-codon, and T loops). The record is from RNAcentral. Lineage: Bacteria; Bacillati; Mycoplasmatota; Mollicutes; Mycoplasmatales.
GGAAGUGUGCCCGAGCGGUUGAAGGGGCUGGCAUGGAGAGCCAGUAAUAUCUAAUCCAUAUUCGGAGGUUCGAAUCCUCUCACUUCCUCCA